This 253-nucleotide ribosomal RNA is filed under the name uncultured bacterium. Its description in RNAcentral is "partial 16S ribosomal RNA". It matches the Rfam family "Bacterial small subunit ribosomal RNA", at positions 524 to 776 of the family's 1533-position model. The record is from RNAcentral.
UACAUGUGGGGCAAGCGUUGUUCGGAAUUACUGGGCAUAAAGGGUGCGUAGGCGGCUUGUUAAGUCAGGGGUGAAAGUUUUCGGCCCAACCGGAGAAUUGCCUUUGAUACUGGCGAGCUCGAGUGCGUGAGGGGUAACCGGAACGAGCAGUGUAGCGGUGAAAUGCGUAGAUAUUGCUCGGAAGGCCAACGGCGAAGGCAGGUUACUGGUACGCAACUGACGCUGAGGCACGAAAGCGUGGGGAGCAAACAGG